This 419-nucleotide ribosomal RNA is filed under the name bacterium. RNAcentral's name for it is "partial 16S ribosomal RNA". It matches the Rfam family "Bacterial small subunit ribosomal RNA", at positions 355 to 776 of the family's 1533-position model. The record is from RNAcentral.
UGGGGGAUAUUGCACAAUGGGCGAAAGCCUGAUGCAGCGACGCCGCGUGGGGGAUGAAGGCCUUCGGGUUGUAAACUUCUUUUGCUCUGAACAAGGCAUGCUAAUGGGUGUGUUGAGUGUAGGGGUUGAUUAGCGCCGGCUAACUACGUGCCAGCAGCCGCGGUAAUACGUAGGGCGCGAGCGUUGUCCGGAAUUAUUGGGCGUAAAGGGCUUGUAGGUGGCUGGUUGCGUCUGUCGUGAAAGCUCAUGGCUUAACUGUGGGUUUGCGGUGGGUACGGGCUGGCGUGAGUGCAGUAGGGGAGGCUGGAAUUCCUGGUGUAGCGGUGGAAUGCGCAGAUAUCAGGAGGAAUACCGGUGGCGAAGGCGGGUCUCUGGGCUGUUACUGACACUGAGGAGCGAAAGCAUGGGGAGCGAACAGG